UGGAAACCAACGCUCGAUGCGCAGUGCUCUCUCUCACACCCAAAAUCCCAUAUGCGUUACUCUCAUCUUCCUACCACUGCCAAACAACAUAAACCGCAGGUUUGUCUCCUCGCAUUACCCACUUCGCUAGCUGUGGCAGUGAAUCCUCCAGUGGGUCAUCUGGGUAAGAUUCAAUUUCCCAAAGGGUUUUACCAUUUAAAUCUUGAACAUUUUCCUGCUUUUUCUGGAUAGGAGUAUUGUUUUGUAAUCCUCUCCGAUUUCUCCGCUAUCCUUGUCCAUUUAGUUAGUUAUACAGAUUCGUUCUUGUUAUUUACGUUUGAACCUGAGAUCAGAGAUACGAAUUAUUAUCGGUCUCUUCGAAUCUAUUGAUACCCUUCUUUCCUUGAACCGCAAAUACGGUUGUGUAUCUUCUUCAAUAAUCUAUUGUUAUAGCUUUGUUUAGAGUUCCAAAUUGAGGGAUUUCCUAAUUCACUGUUCAAAACGUUCAAGUUCAUUCAUGUUAUGAGAUAUGUUUUCUGCGUUUUGACAUCUCAGUAUGCUCAUGGGCACCUAUGCUUGUAACAUGCUCGUUUAUCCCUACUCGAAUUAUCCAUUAAUGAAUGAUAGUAGGAAAACUAUUUACUCUCCAUUGGUAAACUUUACUUUAAAAACUCCCAGAAAUCUUGGCUCUGGUCAAUUCCGUUGUCGAUUGAUUGCUCCGGAUGUGGAACAGACAGAAAAAACAGUAAUUGAUCAAGUAGAAAAACCUAGGUUUAAGUGGGUAGAGAUAGGACGUAACGUCUCAGAAGCCCAAAAAAAGGCCAUAGCUGAACUCCCUCCUAAGAUGACCAAACGAUGUAAGGCACUCAUGAGGCAGAUUAUCUGCUUCACUCCUCAGAAAGGAAGUUUUUCUGAUUUGUUGGCGGCUUGGGUGAGGAUUAUGAAGCCUCGGAGAGCUGACUGGCUUACGGUUCUUAAAGAAUUGAGAACAAUGGAUCAUCCACUUUAUCUAAAGGUUGCAGAGCUUGCCCUCCUAGAAGAAUCGUUUGAAGCCAAUGUUCGUGACUAUACUAAAAUAAUCCAUGCUUAUGGGAUGCAAAACCGACUUCACGAUGCUGAAAAGACCCUGUCAGCCAUGAAGAGUAAAGGCUUUACCUGUGACCAGGUAACUCUUACAACCAUGAUUCACAUGUACAGCAAAGCUGGCGAUCUUGUGCUAGCUGAAGACACUUUUGAACAACUCAAGCUGCUAGGACAACCUUUGGAUAAGAGAUCAUAUGGCUCAAUGAUCAUGGCCUACAUCCGAGCAGGAAUGCUCAAGCAGGGAGAGAUUUUACUUUACGAAAUGGAUGCCGAAGAAGUAUAUGCAGGAAGUGAAGUUUACAAGGCACUGUUGAGAGCAUACUCCAUGAUUGGUGAUUCUGAAGGAGCUCAAAGAGUGUUUGAUGCAAUUCAGUGCGCUGGUCUACCCCCUGAUGUUAAGCUGUGUGGGCUCCUUAUAAAUGCUUAUGCAAUGGCAGGUCAAAGUCAAAAGGCACGUGUUGCAUUUGAAAAUAUGAGAAGGGCUGGUCUUGAACCAAGUGAUAAAUGUAUAGCGUUGCUGUUGGCUGCAUUUGAAAAGGAGAAUAGGCUCAAUAAGGCAUUCGAGUUUCUGGUAAAUUUAGAGAGAGAUGGCAUUGUGCUUGGUAAAGAAGCUUCAGAAAUACUAGCUAGGUGGUUCCGGAGACUAGGGGUAGUAGAAGAAGUGGAGCUUGUUUUAAGAGAAUAUGCUGGUAGGUAAAGCCAAUUUCAAAGUUCCCUCUUCCUAGAUUACAGUCUUUCGUGCCAUGGCCUGGUCUCAUGUUUAUGUGCUCCUUUCAGUUUCCAAGAAUGAUGAAGUGCUGGAGUGUCCUUGGAGCCUUGGAGGAAUAAGAAGGUGGUUUUACCCUCUACCUUCCCUCUUCUUGGUUGACAAGGCAUCUGCAUUGGAGCUGGAGACGGGUUUAUAAUCCGGUGGUUUUCACAUCGACUUGGAUCUUAAUGUCAAAAGAUAGUACUUGUAUCGUUGGCAGAGAGUUAAUUGUUCAUCAACUGUAGCGCAUCCUUAGUGUGCAAAAAUUUUGCAAGUACAAAUGUAGAGGGGAAAAUAUAGUUACAAGCAUAAUUGUGCACUAAUCUGUGCACCAAUGUGAUGUGAUUGGUCAAAAAGUAAAUUUUAUUGAAAACAAUGUUAAUUUAAAUUCUAAGUAUGAAUGAAUUAGUAUUAGUACACAGAUUAGUACGCGAUUGUAUUUGUAUAUAGCAAAAUUCAAUGUAGAGAGUUUAUUCUCAUGUCA
This is an RNA transcript of Carya illinoinensis, 2294 nucleotides long. It is a transcript of the gene named pentatricopeptide repeat-containing protein At1g01970, with no coding region annotated. The record is from RefSeq and is a predicted model, not a curated record. The transcript has 3 exons. Lineage: Eukaryota; Viridiplantae; Streptophyta; Magnoliopsida; Fagales; Juglandaceae.